AUCCUUUCUGGCCUUUUGGCUUAGAUCAAGUGUAGUAUCUGUUCUUAUCAGUUUUGAUUACUGGUAGACCCACAUUGUGGGUCAACAAAUCAAAUCUUAUCUUUACUCGCCUGACCCGCGGUUCUUGAGCUUGCUCUCCUGCGUUUGGUCGCGAUGUCCGCGCUCUUUCACUCCUGGCGUGCGAUGUCAGGGCUU
Molecule: small nuclear RNA, 195 nt
Filed under: Leucosporidium creatinivorum
Lineage: Eukaryota; Fungi; Basidiomycota; Microbotryomycetes; Leucosporidiales; Leucosporidiaceae
Description: Leucosporidiella creatinivora U2 spliceosomal RNA
Rfam family: U2 spliceosomal RNA
About the family: U2 is a small nuclear RNA (snRNA) component of the spliceosome (involved in pre-mRNA splicing).
Source: Rfam by way of RNAcentral